RNAcentral lists this transfer RNA (72 nucleotides) under Methanomicrobia archaeon. RNAcentral's name for it is "tRNA-Ala". It matches the Rfam family "tRNA". Rfam says of the family: Transfer RNA (tRNA) molecules are approximately 80 nucleotides in length. Their secondary structure includes four short double-helical elements and three loops (D, anti-codon, and T loops). The record is from RNAcentral. Lineage: Archaea; Methanobacteriati; Methanobacteriota; Methanomicrobia. RNAcentral also lists the same sequence under 1 other name.
GGGCUCGUAGCUCAGCGGGAGAGCGCUGCCUUCGCAAGGCAGAUGCCGUGGGUUCAAAUCCCACCGAGUCCA